Molecule: long non-coding RNA, 1097 nt
Filed under: Gallus gallus (chicken)
Lineage: Eukaryota; Metazoa; Chordata; Aves; Galliformes; Phasianidae
Source: RNAcentral
CUGAGAUGGAGCUCUGUGCUGCGGUGAAAUCGGCGUUGGAGGGAUUAGGGCAGGAGGGGCCGGUGCUGCUGGGAGCAGAGUGGGCUCUCAGUCAGAGAGAAGCAGAGCCUGACAGUGCUGUGACUCCCUCUUCUUAAGGAGAUGAGCUUGCAGUAAAGCAAGGAGCACGUGAGAGGUGAGCAGACAAAAUGGCAGAGCCCUACGAGCCCAGCACCAGCCGGAGCACAGCUGAACAGAGGGAGCACUCAGCAAACCUCUGCCUGCUGGAGCGGCACUGCUGCUGCACCGCUGCCAGAACAGUGCUUUACUGUAACUUGGAAAGUUUCGCGCACGGGUUUCAACACCUCACUCUCACACCACAUAAUGCAAAAGCUAAUUCUACUUUCAGGCUGAUGUCAACAUUCCCCUUUAUUGCCACGGCGAAAUGUGAAGACUACAUUAAUUUGCAUUUGCUGUGUGCAAGUAACGCAUUCCAGAUCAUCGUGGUAACUCCUCAAAGGUAUAGACGAGAAUUUCCUGGAUCGUGUGCUGGAUGGAAAAAGCUGCUGGGAUCCAGGAGAAGGAAACAGCAUUGUGUGUUUUCAUAACUCCACCUGGAAGCGGUGCAGAGGAGCGGGGGAGCAAAGUGGGGCUCUGCACACUGUUGGUGCACGGAGGAUGCGGGCUCUGAGCAACAAAUCACCGACAUCCAUGGGCAGGGGCACAGCUGCACCACGAAGCCUUUAACACGUCCUUCCUCCAUAAAACAAACAACCCGUCGCUAACUGGAAGUCACGCCGUUCUUACUUGGAGCCACGUGCUGAACGGACGGGCGCUGGGGCUGAGAUAAUGGUGACCCUUUGUGCGCGGAGCUGACGGAUGCAUCGCGCCCUGCGCGGAGCUCACCUCGCACCCGCAGUAAAUCAGCGGCGCUGAGCUCAGUGCUCCACGUGCACGUGGCCGUGGUGCAGAGCUGGGGAUCUUCUGGAUCGAUACGGCAAGUGCAUCGAGACUGUAGCAACACAUUUAAAACCUUAUAAAAGGUUAUUUAGUUGCUAACGGUGCAGCAGUUUCUGCAAAGCCUGCCAAAAGGUUACAGCUUUUUGGGCAUCAUAAAU